RNAcentral lists this ribosomal RNA (1274 nucleotides) under Escherichia coli. RNAcentral's name for it is "partial 23S ribosomal RNA". It matches the Rfam family "Bacterial large subunit ribosomal RNA", at positions 418 to 1694 of the family's 2925-position model. The record is from RNAcentral. Lineage: Bacteria; Pseudomonadati; Pseudomonadota; Gammaproteobacteria; Enterobacterales; Enterobacteriaceae.
CGGGACACGUGGUAUCCUGUCUGAAUAUGGGGGGACCAUCCUCCAAGGCUAAAUACUCCUGACUGACCGAUAGUGAACCAGUACCGUGAGGGAAAGGCGAAAAGAACCCCGGCGAGGGGAGUGAAAAAGAACCUGAAACCGUGUACGUACAAGCAGUGGGAGCACGCUUAGGCGUGUGACUGCGUACCUUUUGUAUAAUGGGUCAGCGACUUAUAUUCUGUAGCAAGGUUAACCGAAUAGGGGAGCCGAAGGGAAACCGAGUCUUAACUGGGCGUUAAGUUGCAGGGUAUAGACCCGAAACCCGGUGAUCUAGCCAUGGGCAGGUUGAAGGUUGGGUAACACUAACUGGAGGACCGAACCGACUAAUGUUGAAAAAUUAGCGGAUGACUUGUGGCUGGGGGUGAAAGGCCAAUCAAACCGGGAGAUAGCUGGUUCUCCCCGAAAGCUAUUUAGGUAGCGCCUCGUGAAUUCAUCUCCGGGGGUAGAGCACUGUUUCGGCAAGGGGGUCAUCCCGACUUACCAACCCGAUGCAAACUGCGAAUACCGGAGAAUGUUAUCACGGGAGACACACGGCGGGUGCUAACGUCCGUCGUGAAGAGGGAAACAACCCAGACCGCCAGCUAAGGUCCCAAAGUCAUGGUUAAGUGGGAAACGAUGUGGGAAGGCCCAGACAGCCAGGAUGUUGGCUUAGAAGCAGCCAUCAUUUAAAGAAAGCGUAAUAGCUCACUGGUCGAGUCGGCCUGCGCGGAAGAUGUAACGGGGCUAAACCAUGCACCGAAGCUGCGGCAGCGACGCUGAUGCGUUGUUGGGUAGGGGAGCGUUCUGUAAGCCUGUGAAGGUGUGCUGUGAGGCAUGCUGGAGGUAUCAGAAGUGCGAAUGCUGACAUAAGUAACGAUAAAGCGGGUGAAAAGCCCGCUCGCCGGAAGACCAAGGGUUCCUGUCCAACGUUAAUCGGGGCAGGGUGAGUCGACCCCUAAGGCGAGGCCGAAAGGCGUAGUCGAUGGGAAACAGGUUAAUAUUCCUGUACUUGGUGUUACUGCGAAGGGGGGACGGAGAAGGCUAUGUUGGCCGGGCGACGGUUGUCCCGGUUUAAGCGUGUAGGCUGGUUUUCCAGGCAAAUCCGGAAAAUCAAGGCUGAGGCGUGAUGACGAGGCACUACGGUGCUGAAGCAACAAAUGCCCUGCUUCCAGGAAAAGCCUCUAAGCAUCAGGUAACAUCAAAUCGUACCCCAAACCGACACAGGUGGUCAGGUAGAGAAUACCAAGGCGCUUGAG